Molecule: ribosomal RNA, 677 nt
Filed under: uncultured bacterium
Lineage: Bacteria
Description: bacterial SSU rRNA
Rfam family: Bacterial small subunit ribosomal RNA
Source: RNAcentral
UGCUUGAGAGUGGCGAACGGGUGAGUAAUAUAUCGGAACGUGCCCAGUCGUGGGGGAUAACGUAGAGAAAUUUACGCUAAUACCGCAUACGAUCUAAGGAUGAAAGCGGGGGAUUUCGCAAGAAGCCUCGCGCGAUUGGAGCGGCUGAUAUCAGAUUAGGUUGUUGGUGAGGUAAAAGCUCACCAAGCCGACGAUCUGUAGCUGGUUUGAGAGAACGACCAGCCACACUGGGACUGAGACACGGCCCAGACUCCUACGGGAGGCAGCAGUGGGGAAUUUUGGACAAUGGGCGAAAGCCUGAUCCAGCAAUGCCGCGUGCAGGAAGAAGGCCUUCGGGUUGUAAACUGCUUUUGUACGGAACGAAACGGUCUGCUCUAAUACAGUGGGCUAAUGACGGUACCGUAAGAAUAAGCACCGGCUAACUACGUGCCAGCAGCCGCGGUAAUACGUAGGGUGCGAGCGUUAAUCGGAAUUACUGGGCGUAAAGCGUGCGCAGGCGGUUAUAUAAGACAGUUGUGAAAUCCCCGGGCUCAACCUGGGAAUUGCAUCUGUGACUGUAUAGCUAGAGUACGGUAGAGGGGGAUGGAAUUCCGCGUGUAGCAGUGAAAUGCGUAGAUAUGCGGAGGAACACCGAUGGCGAAGGCAAUCCCCUGGACCUGUACUGACGCUCAUGCACG